UACGUAGGGUGCAAGCGUUGUCCGGAAUUACUGGGCGUAAAGCGUGCGCAGGCGGUUAUGUAAGUCAGGAGUGAAAUGCCCGGGCUUAACCUGGGAACUGCAUUUGAGACUGCAUGGCUAGAGUUUGGCAGAGGGGGGUAGAAUUCCACGUGUAGCAGUGAAAUGCGUAGAUAUGUGGAGGAACACCGAUGGCGAAGGCAGCCCCCUGGGUCAAAACUGACGCUCAUGCACGAAAGCUUGGGGAGCAAACAGG
This 253-nucleotide ribosomal RNA is filed under the name uncultured bacterium. RNAcentral's name for it is "partial 16S ribosomal RNA". It matches the Rfam family "Bacterial small subunit ribosomal RNA", at positions 524 to 776 of the family's 1533-position model. The record is from RNAcentral.